GAUGAACGCUGGCGGCGUGCCUAAUACAUGCAAGUCGAGCGAACAGACGAGGAGCUUGCUCCUCUGACGUUAGCGGCGGACGGGUGAGUAACACGUGGAUAACCUACCUAUAAGACUGGGAUAACUUCGGGAAACCGGAGCUAAUACCGGAUAAUAUAUUGAACCGCAUGGUUCAAUAGUGAAAGACGGUUUUGCUGUCACUUAUAGAUGGAUCCGCGCCGCAUUAGCUAGUUGGUAAGGUAACGGCUUACCAAGGCAACGAUGCGUAGCCGACCUGAGAGGGUGGUCGACCACACUGGAACUGAGACACGGUCCAGACUCCUACGGGGGGCAGCAGUAGGGAAUCUUCCGCGAUGGGCGAAAGCCUGACGGAGCAACGCCGCGUGAGUGAUGAAGGUCUUCGGAUCGUAAAACUCUGUUAUUAGGGAAGAACAAAUGUGUAAGUAACUAUGCACGUCUUGACGGUACCUAAUCAGAAAGCCACGGCUAACUACGUG
Molecule: ribosomal RNA, 497 nt
Filed under: uncultured bacterium
Lineage: Bacteria
Description: partial 16S ribosomal RNA
Rfam family: Bacterial small subunit ribosomal RNA
Source: RNAcentral